GAGGAUAUAGCUCAACAUCACAGUAUCUACCUAGUAAGUGCAAGGUCCUGAGUUCGAAUCUUAGUACACUCU
Molecule: transfer RNA, 72 nt
Filed under: Cavia porcellus (domestic guinea pig)
Lineage: Eukaryota; Metazoa; Chordata; Mammalia; Rodentia; Caviidae
Rfam family: tRNA
About the family: Transfer RNA (tRNA) molecules are approximately 80 nucleotides in length. Their secondary structure includes four short double-helical elements and three loops (D, anti-codon, and T loops). Further hydrogen bonds mediate the characteristic L-shaped molecular structure. tRNAs have two regions of fundamental functional importance: the anti-codon, which is responsible for specific mRNA codon recognition, and the 3' end, to which the tRNAs corresponding amino acid is attached (by aminoacyl-tRNA synthetases). tRNAs cope with the degeneracy of the genetic code in two manners: having more than one tRNA (with a specific anti-codon) for a particular amino acid; and 'wobble' base-pairing, i.e. permitting non-standard base-pairing at the 3rd anti-codon position.
Source: Rfam by way of RNAcentral